Molecule: ribosomal RNA, 1215 nt
Filed under: Staphylococcus pseudintermedius
Lineage: Bacteria; Bacillati; Bacillota; Bacilli; Caryophanales; Staphylococcaceae
Description: partial 23S ribosomal RNA
Rfam family: Bacterial large subunit ribosomal RNA
Source: RNAcentral
GAUUAAGUUAUUAAGGGCGCACGGUGGAUGCCUUGGCACUAGAAGCCGAUGAAGGACGUUACUAACGACGAUAUGCUUUGGGGAGCUGUAAGUAAGCUUUGAUCCAGAGAUUUCCGAAUGGGGAAACCCAGCACGAGUUAUGUCGUGUUAUCUGCAUGUGAAUACAUAGCAUGCAAGAAGGCAGACCCGGAGAACUGAAACAUCUUAGUACCCGGAGGAAGAGAAAGAAAAAUCGAUUCCCUGAGUAGCGGCGAGCGAAACGGGAAGAGCCCAAACCAAUAAGCUUGCUUAUUGGGGUUGUAGGACACUCUGUACGGAGUUACAAAAGAAUUUGUUAGACGAAUAACCUGGAAAGGUUAAUCAUAGAAGGUAAUAAUCCUGUAGUCGAAAACGAAUUCUCUCUUGAGUGGAUCCUGAGUACGACGGAGCACGUGAAAUUCCGUCGGAAUCUGGGAGGACCAUCUCCUAAGGCUAAAUACUCUCUAGUGACCGAUAGUGAACCAGUACCGUGAGGGAAAGGUGAAAAGUACCCCGGAAGGGGAGUGAAAGAGAACUUGAAACCGUGUGCUUACAAGUAGUCAGAGCCCGUUAAUGGGUGAUGGCGUGCCUUUUGUAGAAUGAACCGGCGAGUUACGAUCUGAUGCAAGGUUAAGCAGAAAAUGUGGAGCCGUAGCGAAAGCGAGUCUGAAUAGGGCGAAUGAGUAUUUGGUCGUAGACCCGAAACCAGGUGAUCUACCCUUGGUCAGGUUGAAGUUCAGGUAACACUGAAUGGAGGACCGAACCGACUUACGUUGAAAAGUGAGCGGAUGAACUGAGGGUAGCGGAGAAAUUCCAAUCGAACUUGGAGAUAGCUGGUUCUCUCCGAAAUAGCUUUAGGGCUAGCCUCAAGUGAUGAUUAUUGGAGGUAGAGCACUGUUUGGACGAGGGGCCCCUCUCGGGUUACCGAAUUCAGACAAACUCCGAAUGCCAAAUAAUUUAACUUGGGAGUCAGAAUGUGGGUGAUAAGGUCCAUAUUCGAAAGGGAAACAGCCCAGACCACCAGCUAAGGUCCCAAAAUAUAUGUUAAGUGGAAAAGGAUGUGGCGUUGCCCAGACAACUAGGAUGUUGGCUUAGAAGCAGCCAUCAUUUAAAGAGUGCGUAAUAGCUCACUAGUCGAGUGACACUGCGCCGAAAAUGUACCGGGGCUAAACAUAUUACCGAAGCUGUGGAUUGUCC